Long non-coding RNA from Cyprinus carpio (common carp), 1134 nucleotides. The record is from Ensembl. NCBI's taxonomy places the organism in Eukaryota, Metazoa, Chordata, Actinopteri, Cypriniformes, Cyprinidae.
UUUUAUCUUUCAAUUUUUGCAGGAAACAUCGUUUCAAGUGGUUUUAAUUUCAGGCGGUAAUUUUUCAUUUCUUCUGAUGAAUUAUGGUGACAUUGCUGUAACAGGACAUCCAGUGCAGGUGAAAGAAACUUGUUUUCUGUAUUGAGAACAAAAUGUUGCUAUUCACUACUGUAUAAAAGUUCAUGUUCUCUAAUAUAUAUAAUGUUUAUAUGAAUAAUGUUUUUGCACACUUUCAGGCUGGUUAUGACACAGUAAACUCCACACACUACUUUGUGAUUCCCGAAUCAAUCAAUGGCAGCUUCAUCUCAAACCUCAGGAACUCCAGUAAUGUCAAUGUUCUCGGUCGAUGGGUCUUCAGGGUGGACGGUGAACCAAGAAACAGCAUCUUGAACAACAAUGUCAUUGGAUUUCGAGUGAGACUUUCCUCAUUUUUAGACCUGACACGUAAUGGCAGCACUGAAAUAGUUUUGGAGCAAGUAUGUCACUCUUACUACGAAUAUUUAAACAGAAUACGGUUCAAAUAGACCACAUGGGCAAAUUUAUUCUGUUUGUCCAUCUGUGUUUCAGAUCAAGCAGGAGCUGGUCAAGUACGGUCUGCCAAACAGCAUCGAACUGAAGUUAAGAAAACUGCAAAAGAUAAAGCCGUAAUUUCCUUCUCCUUCAAGAAAAGAAGUAAAACCAGUUUGUUUAGCAUCUGACAACAAAUAUCCCUGAUGACUGAUGAUGUAAAAGUUUCAGUUUUUCAUUAAGGUUGUUUACAAAGGAUUCAAACCAGCAUAAAAUUAUCAUAGAAGAGGUCCAUUAGAUCCUCCUUUUUUCCUUUUUUCUUUUUUCUUUGCAUAUCGAUCAUGUUGUGUGUAUCAGUUUAAACUUUACUGUAAGUAAAACACUUUUGUCUCAUUCACCUUCAUUAGAACCAUAACUUACAUAGGGUACAACUUAACUUAGGGUACAAUACUUAAACUGCAUAAUGUACAGUACAGUAUCAUUUGAAUGCAGUGUACAUCGCUUUGAAUUAAAGAAUCUGCCAAAUGCAUAAAUGUCAAAUUCUAUCUCACUUUUAACAUGGGCAUCUAAAUUUGUGGCUUAUCAAAAAAAAAUAAAAAAAAUGUUUAGUUUUUGUGUGUUCUGUUG